Molecule: microRNA precursor, 109 nt
Filed under: Beta vulgaris subsp. vulgaris (sugar beet)
Lineage: Eukaryota; Viridiplantae; Streptophyta; Magnoliopsida; Caryophyllales; Amaranthaceae
Description: pre miRNA mir-399
Source: RNAcentral
CAGCGAAUAUUGCUGCGGUUUCCACGUGGCAACCGCAUCAAUAUAUUAAAAAAUAAUUUUUUUAUAUAUUGCUGCGGUUGCCACGUGGAAACCGCAGCAAUAUUCGCUG